Molecule: ribosomal RNA, 457 nt
Filed under: uncultured soil bacterium
Lineage: Bacteria
Description: bacterial SSU rRNA
Rfam family: Bacterial small subunit ribosomal RNA
Source: RNAcentral
AGAACGAACGCUGGCGGCAUGCCUAAUACAUGCAAGUCGAACGAACACUUCGGUGUUAGUGGCGCACGGGUGCGUAACGCGUGGGAAUCUGCCCUUGGGUUCGGAAUAACAGUUGGAAACGACUGCUAAUACCGGAUGAUAUCGAAAGAUCAAAGAUUUAUCGCCCAGGGAUGAGCCCGCGUAGGAUUAGCUAGUUGGUGAGGUAAAGGCUCACCAAGGCGACGAUCCUUAGCUGGUCUGAGAGGAUGAUCAGCCACACUGGGACUGAGACACGGCCCAGACUCCUACGGGAGGCAGCAGUAGGGAAUAUUGGACAAUGGGCGCAAGCCUGAUCCAGCAAUGCCGCGUGAGUGAUGAAGGCCUUAGGGUUGUAAAGCCCUUUUAACCGAGAUGAAUUAAUGACUAGUAUACGGAGAAUAACGCCCCGGACUAACCGUCCGCGACCCAGCCAAGCCGC